RNAcentral lists this ribosomal RNA (263 nucleotides) under uncultured bacterium. Its description in RNAcentral is "partial 16S ribosomal RNA". It matches the Rfam family "Bacterial small subunit ribosomal RNA", at positions 57 to 305 of the family's 1533-position model. The record is from RNAcentral.
GCAAGUCGAACGGACUUAUAGGAGCUUGCUCUUAUAAGUUAGUGGCGCACGGGUGAGUAACGCGUGGAUAACCUGCCCCUGAAUCAGGGACAACAAUACGAAAGUGUUGCUAAUACCUGAUACUUUCAUUUAAUCAGCGAUGAUUUUAUGAAGAAAGACGGCCUUUGUGCUGUUGUUCAGGGAGGGGUCCGCGUUCUAUUAGCUAGUUGGUGGGGUAAUGGCCUACCAAGGCGAUGAUAGAUAACCGGCCUGAGAGGGUGACC